RNAcentral lists this microRNA precursor (111 nucleotides) under Olea europaea subsp. europaea. Lineage: Eukaryota; Viridiplantae; Streptophyta; Magnoliopsida; Lamiales; Oleaceae. The record is from RNAcentral.
CAAAUAGCCCCAGUUUUCAAUACAAUAUAUAUAUAUGUAUACAUAUAUAUAUAUAUAUAUAUAUAUAUAUAUACAAUAUAUAUAUAUUGUAUUGAAAACUGGGGCUAUUUG